UAGGGAAUCUUCGGCAAUGGACGAAAGUCUGACCGAGCAACGCCGCGUGAGUGAAGAAGGUUUUCGGAUCGUAAAACUCUGUUGUUAGAGAAGAACAAGGACGUUAGUAACUGAACGUCCCCUGACGGUAUCUAACCAGAAAGCCACGGCUAACUACGUGCCAGCAGCCGCGGUAAUACGUAGGUGGCAAGCGUUGUCCGGAUUUAUUGGGCGUAAAGCGAGCGCAGGCGGUUUCUUAAGUCUGAUGUAAAAGCCCCCGGCUCAACCGGGGAGGGUCAUUGGAAACUGAGAGACUUGGGUGCAGAAGAGGAGAGUGGAAUUCCAUGUGUAGCGGUGAAAUGCGUGGAUAUAUGGAGGAACACCAGUGGCGAAGGCGGCUCUCUGGUCUGUAACUGACGCUGAGGCUCGAAAGCGUGGGGAGCAAACAGG
This 429-nucleotide ribosomal RNA is filed under the name Gemmatimonadota bacterium. RNAcentral describes it as "Gemmatimonadetes bacterium partial 16S ribosomal RNA". It matches the Rfam family "Bacterial small subunit ribosomal RNA", at positions 355 to 776 of the family's 1533-position model. The record is from RNAcentral. Lineage: Bacteria; Pseudomonadati; Gemmatimonadota.